Prosopis cineraria is the source of this 3899-nucleotide long non-coding RNA. RefSeq lists it as uncharacterized. The transcript has 3 exons. Lineage: Eukaryota; Viridiplantae; Streptophyta; Magnoliopsida; Fabales; Fabaceae. The record is from RefSeq and is a predicted model, not a curated record.
UCCAUUUUUUUAUACGUCUGGUUCCCCUUUUGCUCUCUUCAGUUCAGACCCAUCUCGUACAUGUUGCCUCUCUAUUCGACUGUUCUCCAAAUCAUUCUCACCUCUCUCUCCCCAGAUCUGCGCUUUCUUCAUUUAUCUUCUUCUCCAUGGCUCAUUGAACUAGCUGAAAAUAUUGCAGCAACCACUAUUGUCGGAUCUGAUUUCUUUCUUCGUGGGCACGAAUAUCACUUCCACAAUUUCCAUGCUAUAAAGGAAUAGAAGGUGCACGAAAGUGUGUGGGGCAGGAGCUUGUACAACGCUUUGAUGACCAAGGACUUGAGUUUAUAUGCGCUUAUCAUCGCAAUCCAUUAGAUACAUUUUGUUGCGGAACCUCGACCAGGAGUCAAACAACGUCGUGGAGAGUGAAGAUGAACCUCAAGAUGUCGGCACUUGAGUUGCAGAAGCAGAGGACUUACAGGAAGAUGAAGACGCAGAUGUGAAGCCAUAGUCGGAGAGAAAAGCAGAAGCAGUGGGUUGAAACCUACUUGAGUCGCCAACAGGAAGUCUCAUGUAACAAUAAGAAGGUGACUCACUGAACAAUAACCCUAGGGGCUGAUGCUUUAUAUAAAUGCAUUUGCCGAUUCAAGAAAAAAAGAAGAGCAGCAACAGAACUGACACAAGCCAUGUGUUUCACAAUUGUAGAAGUUUCCAGAAAUUUUCUUCCACCUUUCAUGCUAAAAUUGUCGGCUCCAAAAUAAAAUUAUGCUUUGCUUGGCUUCUUUGAUUUCUGUUUUCUUUCUCCUUUGUCUGUUUCUUUCGAUUUUUCAUCAUUUCUUUUCAUUGUUUCUUCUUGAAAGUUGUCUUUGUUUCCAUUUUAGCUACAGGGUAAGGAAGAAAAGGAGCUGGAACAUGAAUUCAAAUUUUGAAGAGUUAAAGAUUCCUUUUUGAAUGUUCAGUGUUCCUUUCCACUGCCUUUGGAUUUUAUAUUCGAGUAGAAUAUGAAACAAGUUUUGUUUCUGUACGUAUAUAGUGUGGAGAGAUAAUGUUCUUCUCAGAUUCUUUCUGUCUAUGAUUAUUGAUCAGGCAUUUCAUUUUGGCUUGCUAUAUACAGAUGCAACAUUGUUAGAAAUGCUUUUUAGCUUGCUAUAUACAGAUACAACAUUAAUAUGGUUGGAAGAGAUUUUCUGCAUGAAAACUCUACCAUAUGCUAUACAAUUUGUAGGGUCCUAUAUAUCUUUUUCUUUUUUGUCAAAGGAAUACUUCAGUCAAACCAAAUUGCAGAAUAAUAAGCAUCCACAAAACAUGCAAAACAGAAAGGUAAGCAAACGUCGAAACAACAAAGAGAACUGGUAAGUGGUAAUUAUAAUAUACUAUAAUUUGUAAAUUGUAAUUUGUUUUUUUUGGUUGAAAGGUAAUUUGCUUCUCUCAUCAUUUAUCAAAUAGAAAAUUAAUUUAUUUACCCUAAUGAACCAAAACUAUUGUGUUAUCUUUCUAAACUUCAAACAGAGUACCAAAUUUGGAAAAGGAAGCCUACACCUUAAUAAAGUUUGACUAGUCGUGAAUGAGAGAUGCAGCAGCGGACAACCAUUAAAGGUUUUACCAGUUGCUUACCUUUAUUAUGCUGCAUCUUGUACACUGCUGUGUUGCCAGUUGUUAGCUUCAGUCCCUAUGCAGACCAAGUUUUUGGAUGAAGUCAACAUUGUUUUUUCUGAUAAGUCUGAGUUGAAGCUGAAAGCGGACACAUCAUAUAGAGAUAAUAUACCACAAUGACCAUAAACCUUUUAUAGAAAGGAAAGUUACGUUGCAGUACCAAUGAACAUUAAGCUCAUAAAAGGCUUCGAAUUAAAUUCACUUUUCAAUGUGGUAUAUAAUGAUGUAAUUUGCUGAUAGUGCCUGCUGUCCAUUAAAUUCUCUAUGCAGCCUAACUUCUUGGAUGAAGUGAUCUUUAUUUUAGUUUAACAAUGAUGGAUUGAAGCUGGAGGAAGGCACAGUUGAUACAGACUAUACAUCACAAGGAUCAUCAACUUUAGUACAAACUCAUGUUACAAUAUCAGAGAAGAUUUAUACCCAGUCUACAUCAUUGCCACUGAUACAUUUUGUUUAUUAUUUAAAUUUCUUUCAAAGAUAUUUUGAUUUUAAAUCCUUUCAAACCUAUUGACUAUUUAUAUGCACUGAAUUUUACUAAUACUUACUAACCAUGACCCUUAUUGGUGUCGAAGCUGCAAGAGUGUUGGAGUUGCUGGAACUUGGGUAGCUACCCUGGUGCUAACUUUAUUUUUUUUUUUUAAACCUUCCCUGAACUUUACAAAACUUUACUCAUAUUUCUUUUUUAAUUUAAGAAUAGCAUUAACUUCUCUUAAGGAUUGACAGUUUGUCUACACCUUAACAAAGUUUGACUUGUCGAUUUUACUCCAAAAAAAAAAAAAGGGUUCACCUGUCCAAAAAAGAGAUGCUGCAACUGGCAACCAUGAAAAGCUUUAUAAGUAGCGUACUUUUUAUUAUGCUACAUCUUGUAUAUACAUUGCUGUGUUGCCAGCUGGCAGCUUUAGUCCCUAUGCAGACCAAGUUUUUGCAUAAAGUCAACAUUGUUUUUUUAAAAUAAUUUUGAGUUUUUUUUUUUGUCAAAAUAAUUUUGAGUUGAAGCUGAAAGAUAACACAUCAUAUAGAGAUAAUAUAAAGAUAAAGACGAGAGAAACGGAAUGCUGAAAGAGGACACAUCAUCAGGAGUACAUCAAGACUUUGGGAUAAAGAGGUAAAGACGAGAGCAAAAGGGAAAAGCAACAAAAUUCUGAAAGGAGGGUAAAACCAUUUCCCUCCCGUCAAAAAUACUCCCUCCAUUCUGCAAUAUUAGAUGCUUUUAGAAGAGAAUUUUGGUCCACAAUAUAAAUCACCAAGAGAUGAUGACUCUACAUUUUACAUUUAAGUUCCCAAAAUACCCUUAGUGCUAUAACGUUUCUAACCCACCUGUCUUUCUCGAUUCAAGUCUGGCUUAUCUUUCUCUCUCUUCAAAUUGUGCUUUGUUGUUUACCAUCUUCAAUCUCUACCAUUGAUCACGUUUGGCAUUCUUCUUAUUAGCUCUCACCUCAUUAGUGAUCGCCUCUCGUUUCUCACUUUCCUCUUCCAUCGUGGUUCACCUCAGACUCGCUGUUAAAGGUGUGGUUUGAAAUCUCAGUGGAUCUUCGCCAUUCAAGCUCAACAAAAAAGGGCUUUGAAGAUAUGUCAGGGAUGAGCUAAUGGGCUGUAUAGUCGACAUUUCUCUUGAUGAGGAAGAAGAUAUACCCCUAGUCAACUUCUCUGGGGAGGUGAUGUCCCUGAAUCAAAAGAUUUUGUGGGCAUCUCUUCCCAAGGAUUCUUCGCUUGGGUCUUCCAAUUUUGUCGAGGUUGAGGUGGUGCAAUAAAAGCAAGUCUAGUCCUUUGAUUUGAAUGAAGAGGCAACGAAGGAUGGUGAAGAAGUGAGUAGCGAUAAUGGCAACAACAAUGGCACAUCUGACUAAGGAAGAGAAAGAAAAAAGAGGAAGAUUGUCCACCCAUUCAACCUAAACAAAUUUCCAGUUCCAGAGGAAGAUUGUGUGCAUCUAACCAAGGAAGAGAAAGCCCAUAAGUAAUUUGCAUACGACACUUUGCAUUAUAUGUUUUGAUUAGUGUUGAAUUUAUGAGCCUUCUAUAGUUCUGUGUAAUUUUAAUUAUUCUAGACUUUAAGCUUAUUUUGGUCAAUGAUGGAUGUUAAGCUUAUUUGAUACAUGAUAGUUUAGUUUAUUUUGGUUAUGCUAAAGUUACAUGUCGAUGAUCUUCUUUUCUGGUUAGUCUGAUGGAUGAAUGUAUUGACAUUUUAGCCACUUCUACAUCUCUAUUGUGUUAGAAUGAUGGAUGAUGAUAUUUAAACUAAUGACAAAUGUUUUGAAUUAGCGAGCUUUCUAUUU